Molecule: ribosomal RNA, 253 nt
Filed under: uncultured bacterium
Lineage: Bacteria
Description: partial 16S ribosomal RNA
Rfam family: Bacterial small subunit ribosomal RNA
Source: RNAcentral
UACGUAGGCAGCAAGCGUUGUUCGGAAUUACUGGGCGUAAAGCGUGCGCAGGCGGUGGCUCAAGCCAGGCGUGAAAUCCCCGGGCUUAACCUGGGAAUGGCGUUUGGGACUGGGUCGCUAGAGUGUGGCAGAGGGAGGUGGAAUUCCACGUGUAGCAGUGAAAUGCGUAGAGAUGUGGAGGAACACCGAUGGCGAAGGCAGCCUCCUGGGCCAGCACUGACGCUCAUGCACGAAAGCGUGGGGAGCAAACAGG